ACAAAAAAUUGCAUUUCAGUAAAAGUUAAUUUAAUAACAACUGUAAGUAAAAUAGUUCUGAUUCCUUUAGGUCAUUUUUAGAAUCAUGGAUAAUUUAUGCUGGAAGGGACCUUUUGAGGUCAUCUAGUCCAAACCCCUUCUCAAAGCGUGUCUCAUUCCAUCAGAUUGCUCGUGGCUGAACUGAACCCUCCGGAGAUGGAGAUUCUACAGCCUCUGCUGAAUGCUGACAGCUGCAACACAUUGGUCUCAGGUCAGAAGAGCCAGGAGAGCAGUUGCAAUUACUUUCCCAGCAAAGCUCUGCUUCAGGAAACACAUCUCGGAGACACGGUGUGUCCCUGAUACCUCGGUCCCAGUCACUUGCAGAAGAAAGGUUCUGACCCAGACCGGUGCUGGCAGCCUCUCCUUCCACCUCCCUGGGACACCCCUGCUGUGCUAGGUAGGUUCCCUCACCACAAAUGGACAUGGGGUGUUUUGUUUGAACUGGGAAGCUGAUAGUGUUGAACCCAUCUGUUUGUAUAAACUAGCUGGCUAUCAUCUUGCCAUCUCUAAUGUAAAUCUACUAUGGUAUUGUGAAACUUUAUUUAUUUUAAGUUUGCAAUAUUUACCAAAGCAGACCAUACAAAAAGGGUCCUUUCUAACUUCCAUACCAUUUUUCUACUGUGUUAUUUGUUGGAAAGAUAUGUUCAUGUAUAAUUAAAUGUGGCUUGCUUAAACCUUUGCAGUUGGUAGCUUAAUAUAUAUUUUGUUGUACUUUGAGUACAAAGGCUAUAUUAUGCUUUU
Molecule: long non-coding RNA, 780 nt
Filed under: Calidris pugnax (ruff)
Lineage: Eukaryota; Metazoa; Chordata; Aves; Charadriiformes; Scolopacidae
Description: lncRNA (ENSCPUG00000001421.1)
Source: RNAcentral